Long non-coding RNA from Lolium rigidum, 1178 nucleotides. RefSeq lists it as uncharacterized. The record is from RefSeq and is a predicted model, not a curated record. The transcript is spliced from 5 exons. NCBI's taxonomy places the organism in Eukaryota, Viridiplantae, Streptophyta, Magnoliopsida, Poales, Poaceae.
CAGGCCAAUUCCGGCCAUGUCCUCCGCCGCCAGCUACCGACGCGGGCUCGUCUCGUCCUCCUCUAUAUCUCUGUCCCAUGUGAGGAGCAUGAGAGGCCUUGACAUGGAGUCUCCUUCCCGGCGGCAGCGAUCGCGUGAGACCACGCCUAGGUGCCAUGGCGGCUCGUGCUGCUCCCCGGCGUGUGGCGCAUCAUGCUCGCCCGAACCGACUUCAUUGGCCGCGGCGGCAACCAGGGCGCACCCCGCAUCCAUGGAGCGUCCAGGAGGGCGAGCAGGCGAAGAUAGACCUGCGGUCUUCCCUCCUCUUCGUCCCUCUCCUACUUGUUUCGGCAGGAUAAUACAUGACGGGUUCAUGUUCAGGGCGAACUUCUCCAUUAGGUCCUACAAGAUUGGGGUGACAUGAUGGCCUCCAAAGAGAUGUUGAUGAACCACUUGCAGCUCCAUGGUGACGGCCUGGAGCGCGAGGGCGUCUGAAGAAGCGAGGCCUCGAGCUCCAUCGCCAUAUCCUCGCCCCGAACUCCGCCCCACUGGGUGCAUAGGCAGUUCAACACGCCCCCGUGGUGUUCCUCGGCGCUGACGUCCCUGGGAUCUUCACCCCAUCUGCAGGUUGAUCUCCUCCUUCCCAACACUUCCCCAAAAUAAUAUGUUUUAUGGUUUGUGAUUUUGGUGAAUAGAAAGUGGUCGUUGUUAUGCAUAUGAGAACCAAAUCAAUAUACAAACUCUUGUAUAAAUCACUUCAAUUGUCACUUCAGCAAUGACUGUGUUAUGAUGUUCAUUUUGAUUGUCACUUCAGCAAUCACUAUGUUAUGAUGUUAUCUGUUUGAUCAUGUGAGGCUAAACAAGGCUAGGAUAAACAGUGAUUGGAUCACCAAUGUACGAAUCCGUUGCCGCUGAACAGUCAAGAUUAUCUGUCUAAAUGAAAAUUUUCAAGAACCUGUACAAUCACUUCAGACCAAAGUCUCGUAAUGGUUGUAGUUUGUGAUGCACGUGUGUUUGAUCUCAGCUGGUCUCUGGAGAAGCAGCUGGGAGUGCUGGUGGAAGAGGUCUCUGGAGAAAGAGCUGUAGGAGCUAUUAUUUAGAGGUCCAUUGCAUGUUAUUAUUGAAUUUGCACAAAUCAUGUAACUUGGUAUUGAUGAUUAUGUGAAUAUGCAAUUGGUUGUGUGCAGUACAUUUUGAUA